RNAcentral lists this ribosomal RNA (473 nucleotides) under uncultured delta proteobacterium. Its description in RNAcentral is "bacterial SSU rRNA". It matches the Rfam family "Bacterial small subunit ribosomal RNA", at positions 400 to 863 of the family's 1533-position model. Lineage: Bacteria; Deltaproteobacteria. The record is from RNAcentral.
CGUGAGUGAUGAAGGCUUUCGGGUCGUAAAGCUCUGUCAAGUGGGAAGAACCUGCAGUAUGCUAAUAUCAUAUUGCACUGACGGUACCACUGAAGGAAGCACCGGCUAACUCCGUGCCAGCAGCCGCGGUAAUACGGGGGGUGCAAGCGUUAUUCGGAAUCAUUGGGCGUAAAGGGCACGUAGGCGGCCUGGUAAGUCAGAUGUGAAAGCCCGGGGCUUAACCCCGGAAGUGCAUUUGAUACUGUCAGGCUUGAGUAUGGGAGAGGGAAGUGGAAUUCCUGGUGUAGAGGUGAAAUUCGUAGAUAUCAGGAGGAACACCGGUGGCGAAGGCGACUUCCUGGACCAAUACUGACGCUGAGGUGCGAAGGCGUGGGUAGCAAACAGGAUUAGAUACCCUGGUAGUCCACGCAGUAAACGUUGUUCACUAGGUGUAGCGGGUAUUGACCCCUGCUGUGCCGCAGUUAACGCAUUAA